This 465-nucleotide ribosomal RNA is filed under the name Vreelandella stevensii. RNAcentral describes it as "partial 16S ribosomal RNA". It matches the Rfam family "Bacterial small subunit ribosomal RNA", at positions 338 to 795 of the family's 1533-position model. Lineage: Bacteria; Pseudomonadati; Pseudomonadota; Gammaproteobacteria; Oceanospirillales; Halomonadaceae. The record is from RNAcentral.
CCUACGGGUGGCAGCAGUGGGGAAUAUUGGACAAUGGGGGGAACCCUGAUCCAGCCAUGCCGCGUGUGUGAAGAAGGCCCUCGGGUUGUAAAGCACUUUCAGUGAGGAAGAACGCCUGGUGGUUAAUACCCAUCAGGAAAGACAUCACUCACAGAAGAAGCACCGGCUAACUCCGUGCCAGCAGCCGCGGUAAUACGGAGGGUGCGAGCGUUAAUCGGAAUUACUGGGCGUAAAGCGCGCGUAGGUGGCUUGAUAAGCCGGUUGUGAAAGCCCCGGGCUCAACCUGGGAACGGCAUCCGGAACUGUCAAGCUAGAGUGCAGGAGAGGAAGGUAGAAUUCCCGGUGUAGCGGUGAAAUGCGUAGAGAUCAGGAGGAAUACCAGUGGCGAAGGCGGCCUUCUGGACUGACACUGACACUGAGGUGCGAAAGCGUGGGUAGCAAACAGGAUUAGAUACCCCUGUAGUC